UAUUGGUCAAUGGUCGGGAGACUGAACCGGCCAAGCCGCGUGAGGGAUGAAGGUACAGAGUAUCGUAAACCUCUUUUGUCAGGGAACAAAGGCGGGGACGCGUCCCCGGACGAGUGUACCUGAAGAAAACGCAUCGGCUAACUCCGUGCCAGCAGCCGCGGUAAUACGGAGGAUGUGAGCGUUGUCCGGAUUUAUUGGGUUUAAAGGGUGCGCAGGCGGUCUGUUAAGUCAGCGGUCAAAGCUCGGGGCUCAACCCCGGUCCGCCGUUGAAACUGGCAGUCUCGAGUUGGAGAGAAGUAUGCGGAAUGCGCGGUGGAGCGGUGAAAUGCAUAGAUAUCGCGCAGAACUCCGAUUGCGAAGGCAGCAUGCCGGCUCCACACUGACGCUGAGGCACGAAAGCGUGGGUAUCGAACAGG
RNAcentral lists this ribosomal RNA (416 nucleotides) under uncultured bacterium. Its description in RNAcentral is "bacterial SSU rRNA". It matches the Rfam family "Bacterial small subunit ribosomal RNA", at positions 362 to 776 of the family's 1533-position model. The record is from RNAcentral.